AUUGAACGCUGGCGGCAGGCUUAACACAUGCAAGUCGAGCGGAGCGAGGGUGCUUGCACCUUAGCUUAGCGGCGGACGGGUGAGUAAUGCUUAGGAAUCUGCCUAUUAGUGGGGGACAACAUUCCGAAAGGAAUGCUAAUACCGCAUACGCCCUACGGGGGUAAGCAGGGGAUCUUCGGACCUUGCGCCAAUAGAUGAGCCUAAGUCGGAUUAGCUAGUUGGUGGGGUAAAGGCCUACCAAGGCGACGAUCUGUAGCGGGUCUGAGAGGAUGAUCCGACACACUGGGACUGAGACACGGCCCAGACUCCUACGGGAGGCAGCAGUGGGGAAUAUUGGAGAAUGGGCGGAAGCCUGAUCCAGCCAUGCCGCGUGUGUGAAGAAGGCCUUUUGGUUGUAAAGCACUUUAAGCGAGGAGGAGGCUACUUAGAUUAAUACUCUGGGAUAGUGGACGUUACUCGCAGAAUAAGCACCGGCUAACUCUGUGCCAGCCGCCGCGGUAA
This 501-nucleotide ribosomal RNA is filed under the name uncultured bacterium. RNAcentral's name for it is "partial 16S ribosomal RNA". It matches the Rfam family "Bacterial small subunit ribosomal RNA", at positions 30 to 523 of the family's 1533-position model. The record is from RNAcentral.